This 166-nucleotide small nuclear RNA is filed under the name Salvator merianae (Argentine black and white tegu). Its description in RNAcentral is "U1 spliceosomal RNA (ENSSMRG00000003881.1)". It matches the Rfam family "U1 spliceosomal RNA". From Rfam's summary of the family: U1 is a small nuclear RNA (snRNA) component of the spliceosome (involved in pre-mRNA splicing). The record is from RNAcentral. Lineage: Eukaryota; Metazoa; Chordata; Lepidosauria; Squamata; Teiidae.
GGACUUACCUGGCAGGGGAGACACCAUGUGAUCAUGAAGGUGGUUUUCCCAGGGUGAGGCUCAUCCAUUGCACGCCGGAUGUGCUGACUCCUGCGAUUUCCCCAAAUGCGGGAAACUCAACUGCAUAAUUUGUGGUAGUGGGGGACUGCCUUCAUGCUUUNCCCUG